RNAcentral lists this long non-coding RNA (508 nucleotides) under Oryctolagus cuniculus (rabbit). RNAcentral describes it as "lncRNA (ENSOCUG00000035819.1)". The record is from RNAcentral. Lineage: Eukaryota; Metazoa; Chordata; Mammalia; Lagomorpha; Leporidae.
CAAAUCAGACCAUGUGGGGUCUGUCUGGGAGGGCAAAGGCAAACUGAGGCAGCUGUGACUGCGGGCUGAGGCUGGGCUGUGCAUGCAGCCCGGGGCCGGGCCAGCACCAGCAAGCACCCAGCAGCACGAGAGCCACUGUUUCAGCUGUCUAUGUCCCUGUAGCGCCAGUCCUGGGUUCUUCCCAGCAACUGCGACUGUGGGGGAGCCAGGUUCAAACGUGGGUGAUCUGGCCACAAGGACAGGUGCGCUGAUGGAGGAGGGAGGAGCAGACGCUUCAAGGCCACACACCACAGCUCGUGCACCACUGGCCCUGGAUUUUCUCAGGAAGACCCGAUUUCAGAUAUCUUUCUGGUGUCAGCCCAGCUGUGGAGUUCUGCAACAUCUUUCAAAUCGAUUUAAAGGACGGCCGUGGUUCCCUGCCUGUGUCUCUGUAUGGACACCAGAUAAAACUCUGCUUUUGGUAACAAGGGAACAUCAACCAAUGCUUAUUCUAGUUUUUAAUCUUUAG